AACCAUUCUCACCUGCGGCUAGACCUGCGGAGGGAUCAUUGAUAAUUUAAACAAAUUUAGCCUGGGGAUUAAGCUAGAUCUCAUGUGAAGCUGAGAUCUAAAGAACAAAAAUCUUAGAUAGUAAGCUGAAUGCAGGGAUCUAGUCCCAGGUUUAAAUAUCAACCAACUUGUGAACCGUAUUUUAAUGCAGCCUUUCCGGUGAAGAAGUUUCCCCUUUAGCUGACUCCGAGGAAGUUUUCU
This 240-nucleotide unclassified non-coding RNA is filed under the name soil metagenome. Its description in RNAcentral is "partial contains 5.8S ribosomal RNA, internal transcribed spacer 2, and large subunit ribosomal RNA". The record is from RNAcentral.